AGAGUUUGAUCCUGGCUCAGGAUGAACGCUGGCGGCGUGCUUAAGACAGGCAAGUCGAACGAAGAGUUUUGUAGCAAUACGGGACUCUUAGUGGCGAAUGGGUGCAUAACACGUAGGUGACCUGCCCUGAAGUGGGUGAAUAACAGUUCGAAAGGACUGCUAAUACCGCAUGUGGUCCUGGAGGUUAGAGGCUCCAGGUCUAAAGCUUCCCGCAAGGGAGGCGCUUCAGGAGGGGCCUGCGGUCCAUCAGCUCGUUGGUAGGGUAAUGGCCUACCAAGGCUACUACGGAUAGGGGACCUGAGAGGGUGGCCCCCCACACUGGCACUGACACACGGGCCAGACUCCUACGGGAGGCAGCCGUCGGGAAUAUUGCACAAUGAGCGAAAGCUUGAUGCAGCAACGCCGCGUGCGCGAUGAAGGUCUUCGGAUCGUAAAGCGCUUUUCGGGGGGAUGAGGAAGGACAGUACCCCCGGAAUAAGUCACGGCUAACUACGUGCCAGCAGCCGCGGUAAAACGUAGGUGGCGAGCGUUAUCCGGAUUUACUGGGCGUAAAGCGUGUUCAGGCGGUUUGGAAAGUCGGGCAUGAAAUCUCUUGGCUCAACCAGGAGAGGCUGUCCGAUACUUCCAGACUUGAGGGCAACAGAGGGCGGUGGAAUUCCGGGUGUAGUGGUAAAAUGCGUAGAUAUCCGGAGGAACACCAGUGGCGAAGGCGGCCGCCUGGGUUGCCCCUGACGCUAAAACACGAAGGCUAGGGCAGAGAACGGGAUUAGAAACCCCGGUAUUCCUAGCAGUAAACGAUGUUGACUAGGUGUCGGGAGUGUAAAAACUCUCGGUGUCGUAGCUAACGCGUUAAGUCAACCGCCUGGGGACUACGGCCGCAAGGUUAAAACUCAAAGGAAUUGACGGGGACCCGCACAAGCAGCGGAGCGUGUGGUUUAAUUCGAGCCUACGCGAAGAACCUUACCAGGGAUUGACAUGUACGUAGUAGUGAAGCGAAAGCGGAACGACCCGCAAGGGAGCGUACACAGGUGAUGCAUGGCUGUCGUCAGCUCGUGCCGUGAGGUGUUUGGUUAAGUCCAAUAACGAGCGCAACCCUUAUCGUCAGUUACAAGUGUCUGGCGAGACUGCCGGUAUUAAGCCGGAGGAAGGUGGGGAUGACGUCAAGUCAGCAUGUCCUUUAUACCCUGGGCUACACACACGCUACAAUGGCCGGUACAAUGGGGUGCUAAGCCGUGAGGCGGAGCCAAUCCUAAAAAGUCGGUCUCAGUUCGGAUUGCAGGCUGCAACUCGCCUGCAUGAAGUCGGAGUUGCUAGUAACUGCAGGACAGCUAUACUGCAGUGAAUACGUUCCCGGGUCUUGUACACACCGCCCGUCACGUCAUGGGAGCUGGCAACACCUGAAGCCGGUGAGCUAACCGCAAGGGGGCAGCCGUCGAAGGUGGGGUUGGUGACUGGGACGAAGUCGUAACAAGGUA
RNAcentral lists this ribosomal RNA (1475 nucleotides) under metagenome. Its description in RNAcentral is "bacterial SSU rRNA". It matches the Rfam family "Bacterial small subunit ribosomal RNA". The record is from RNAcentral.